Perca flavescens (yellow perch) is the source of this 1951-nucleotide long non-coding RNA. RefSeq lists it as uncharacterized. The transcript has 3 exons. The record is from RefSeq and is a predicted model, not a curated record. Lineage: Eukaryota; Metazoa; Chordata; Actinopteri; Perciformes; Percidae.
GUCACUGCAGACACUGAGUUCAGAUUUUAAAUUGUUUUAAAUUGUUAAUAUUUUUAUUAAUAGUUUUGGCUGACGAUGCCCAUUGGAAUUGUGGGUAACGCCUGAUACGUGCCAUGUAAAAAUGAAUGUAUGCGAAUUCUCAUGACUCAUCCAUAAAAUGGGAACUUUAAUCAGGUAUAUGGUCAUGGUGAGUUGGUUCUCUAAAGCUAAAUCACAUUUCCUAUAGCCAGGGCUGCCACUGUAGUACUUUCUCAGUUAUUUUGUCUGCUGAAAAUACGAGCCCAUUAGAUUGUGUUGUCGUUUUGUUAUUUUUUAAUGUGGCCUCUACUCGCUUCGAAUCGAACCCUCAUCUAAAGCGCCAUGAGGCCGGGUGAAAUAGGCUGCAUUACCAUGUUCGGCCACAACAAGGUGUCAAUGGGCAGGUGGCGCUCUUUCCCAAUGACUCACAGAUCUGAUACUACUGCUGGAACCUCAUCAUUUACAGUUUUUUACAUCUGUAUUUAUACAGUGCUUUUCUAGUUUUAACAAGUAGCCUACUAAAAGAACUUUUACAUAUUACAGGAACCAUUCGCACAUAGGUGUGUGUGUGUGUGUGUGUGUGUGUGUGUGUGUGUGUGUGUGUGUGUGUGUGUGUGUGUGUGUAGCCUACGUUCUUAUGGGGUGAGUGGGGGUGAAUAACCAGUGAUCAGUAAGUGUGGCCCUGAUCUAAACAUCUGAUCUUUUCUCUGCCCUUGUCCUCUUCUUCCUCCUCCUCCUCUUCCAACUCUUCCUCCAUGAACUUGUCCUGAGGUACAUCCCAUGUCCUUUAUUUGAUAGCUCCUCGACUCCUCUGUCCUCGGCUGAACCGGAAGUUGUUCCGUCCCUCCUCAGUGAAGGCCAUCUCAAAGCUCUUAUUUCUGUCCUGAGGGCCGAGGAGCGAGCUUCGAGGAGGGAACACCUCGGAGAUAUAGCCGAUAUCAGCCUUCCCUGAAGCUGUGCAGAUCUCUCCCGUGACUCCUCGGUGGGAGGGACUAAGACGCGAGGAAGGGAGGCAAGUGGAGGACUCCAGGAGGCAAUUUAAGCAACAUGAGAUGUAGCUCUGGUUGUCGUCCCCUAUCUCUCCCUCCUACUCCCCUUGCUCUCUGUCUAUUGUCGGCAUCCACCAUUCAAAGCAGGGACUAAGGAACAAACGGAGACGUUCAUACGUCUACGUGUAGGCAGCAAGCAGCUGUUUACCAGGGGGAGGGACAACGCUGUGAACGGAUAUCGUCAGAUAGGCUUAUUUUGGAGACGAUGGGGAUCGGAGCGAGGGUCUCCCACACACCCAGGCCAAGAAGAAGUGGGACAACCUAAAAACGAAGUGGGAGAUAUUUACUUUGGGGGUAUUAAUGUAUGGACAUAAUUGUUAUGGACAUCUUAAUGUAUCGUCUGUGUUGUUUAGCCUAAUUCUGACAACGACAGGUGCUGCGCUGCAGAGCAGACUGUUAGGUCCCGGUGUUGGAAUCUUCUACGGUGAAAUACAGUCACACUUUACACAGUUUAACGUUAGCUGUCAGCAUUUUAACCGUGUUAAAUCCAGCUGGUAACUAAAGAUAGGGUAACGUUGGGAGCAUUACCGUCUCCAGGCUGUUCAGAACUCUGCUGCAAGGCUUUUAACUCACAUUAACAAAAGAGCACACAUCACGCCUGUUUUAGCAGCACUUCACUGGUUACCAGUCCAGUAUAGAAUUCAAUUUAAAAUCCUCAUCCUUACUUUUAGAUCCCUGCACGGUCAAGUUCCUCCCUACAUCUCUGACUUGAUACAACUUCAUACUCCCACCCGUAGUCUGAGGUCAUUAGGUCAGAGGCUGUAGGUUCCCCGCACUCAGUUUAAAACUAGAGGGGACCGAUCAACAUAGAAUUGUGAGUAGAGUGUAUAAUCCAAUGACAUCACUCUCUCCCUGUGCGUGUGUGGAUGUCUGUUUCAUGUCAA